Molecule: ribosomal RNA, 446 nt
Filed under: uncultured bacterium
Lineage: Bacteria
Description: partial 16S ribosomal RNA
Rfam family: Bacterial small subunit ribosomal RNA
Source: RNAcentral
CCUACGGGGCGCAGCAGUCGAGAAUCAUUCACAAUGGGGGAAACCCUGAUGGUGCGACGCCGCGUGGGGGAAUGAAGGUCUUCGGAUUGUAAACCCCUGUCAUGUGGGAGCAAAUUAAAAAGAUAGUACCACAAGAGGAAGAGACGGUUAACUCUGUGCCAGCAGCCGCGGUAAUACAGAGGUCUCAAGCGUUGUUCGGAAUCACUGGGCGUAAGGCGUGCGUAGGCUGUUUCGUAAGUCGUGUGUGAAAGGCGCGGGCUCAACCCGCGGACGGCACAUGAUACUGCGAGACUAGAGUAAUGGAGGGGGAACCGGAAUUCUCGGUGUAGCAGUGAAAUGCGUAGAUAUCGGGAGGAACACUCGUGGCGAAGGCGGGUUCCUGGACAUUAACUGACGCUGAGGCACGAAGGCCAGGGGAGCGAAAGGGAUUAGAUACCCCAGUAGUC